ACGGGAACUAAUCAUCAGACACUGGUUCGACGGGCAUCCAUCCCGGUACAACUCUUCUAUUCUCUUCUUUGUCUCUCUCACAGAUUUGCCCUAAACACAUCUUAUUUGGGGCAUCUCUCUGUCUCCCUCACUCUCUCUCAGAUUUGCCCUAAACACAUCUCAUUUGGGGCAUCUCUCCUCUCUCUCAGAUUUGCAAAUGAGAUUGAGUCGGGCCAAGUCGAGUUGCAGAGUUACUCUGACGAGUCGUCGCUCGGAUGGGAGACCGAGUCGAAGAAGAGUUAGACCUCGUUUGGGUCGGCAGCAUAGACAAAGCAUGGCGAGGUCGAGAGGAAGAAAGGAACUCCAUGGAGAGAAGAAGAAAAUAGGAGUUGGGGCUGGAGGGGAGGAAUAACAGGCUUCUUCAAUAUCUAUUGCCCAUUUACCUUGGCUGGCGUUUGUUGUUGCAUUCUUAUUUGUACUACUUAACGGAUGGCUUCGCAUCUACAGACGUCACCGAAGAGAACAAGAGAUGAUGCAAUCUGAAGUUGUUGAGGAAAUUAUUUACGGCUUGGAAUCGGGCAUUUUGUUUGGGGUUGCAUCUGUCAUAUCAAAGAUGGGGUUUGUAUUCUUGGACCAGGGCUUCUCCAAGUUGCUGGUUCCUGCAUGCAUCUCAAUCAGUGUUUGUUGUAGUGGUACUGGAUUUUUUUACCAGACACGGGGCUUGAAACAUGGGAGAGCAAUUGUAGUGUCCGCAUGCGCUGCUGUAGCAUCAAUUGUGACUGGUGUACUUGCUGGUAUGCUUGCUUUGGGUGAACGAUGGCCUUCAGCACCAAUGGCUCGGCUUUCAGUUUUGUUUGGAUGGUUUUUCAUAAUUCUAGGUGUGGUUCUGCUGGUAACCUCGACACGGCUAGUGCGAUACCUUCCGAGGCCAUUGCGGCGUAUCGUGCAAAACAGUGUUGAUAGGAAUCCUGGCCUCAAACGACACGGGUCGCUCCAUGCCAGGGACCCAACGAGUCCUAGUGCCAUCAUCCAGGCAACCACAUUGCAUCAUUUGAUGUCGUCACCCUCUAAAGAGAACGCUUGAAUCGAAAAUUGCAAUGAAAUCGACGUAUAUGAUUGAAUCUUGAAUAAAGCAGCUAUACUGGAAGGCAUGAAGGCUUUAAUAUCACACCCUUCAUAGAACAAUCUCUCUUGCAAUACUUGUUAAUUUGUUUCUCUUCAGUCUUCCCCAUACACGUACAGGUUAUAGAAUCCUUUGGAAUGUGCCAGUAAAAAUUUAUAUUUCGAAUGGAUUUUAGUUGUGAUUUGGAAGUUGUUCUCUUCAUUUAAGUUAUUUUAUUUUAUGAUGUAUUGCUUGUACUACUACUACCUAUACCCACUGUUAAUGCUCAUCUAACUACUUGUUCUUUGACUGACUUUCUCUCAGUCUCUAGCAUUACUGAAAAGUGGUGUAUGGUUUAGAUUCAAUUAUUGUACGAUGGAACCUACAGGCUACACUUGAAGUGAAUUUCAACCGCACAAUGUUUUUUGUGGGUAAAUUUUAAAAGUUAAGAGCUUUGGUGGUAAUGUGAUGGUCAAAGUAAUUAAAUAACAGCAAUGAGCUCUUCUUCCUUUGAGGGUUCCAACUAUGAAGCCAUGGAUCCAGAAUUACAAGAGGCUGCUGCCUCAGCUGCGAGCAAGUUGUGUCUCAUGUUCCUCCUAUAAGCAAAGAGAUGGGUUUCUUUAAAGGUGGGGCCCCAUAAAAGAUACCUUAGGCAAUGUUCUGUAGCUUCUGAAGAGCAUAAAAGAGAUGAGUUUGUAUGAAGAUCUUGUAGCAGCUUGGGUACCUGCAAAACAUGAAUGGCCGUGGCCACGCCCUUUAGGUCAAGAACUCGUCAAUAGAUUGAGACGAUGAAAGAUGUUCAGCUAUUGUGCCUUUUCUCUGUGCCCUAACCUUGCCCGUUGGAAAACUAGUCGUCAACUAUGUUGAGCAGAACCACAAGGACAAAAUGAAGAUCUUUAUGGCGAAGUAUUACUGUGUGAGAUUGCAUGCUUUAUUCGAUGCUGGUUUGGCAGCUGGACUGGUAGCAGCCAAAACCAUUGCUGGCAAAUAUGUUGACAAGACGGUUUUUCUCUGAUUUUCCACUCCACAGAUUUCAAAAUUUGCCUGGUUCUUUAAUCGGUGCUUCCGAUUGAAGAUGAAGAAGUUUUGCUUGGACAAUAUGAUGGCUACACUGAUGACCCAACAGUUCUAGACAACUCAAAUACUCCCACUUUUGCAACUAUGAUUCUGCGAAUUCACAAUGAAAGAUGGGAAGGUGUUCCGUUUAUACUCAAGGCAGGGAAAGCAUUAACUUCUAGGAAGGCAGAAAUCCGUAUUCAAUUUAAAACCGUUCCUGGUGAUAUAUUCAAAUGUCAAAAGCAAGGAAGGAAUGAAAGUGUAAUCCGUCUGCAACCUUCAGAGUCCAUUUACAUGAAGGUUACGGUGGUAUGUGAUUGUUCACAGUAUCUGCUUCAAACAUCGCAUUAAUGUUUGCUGCUAAAACUUUUGAGUCCUUUGGUUAUGAAACUCAGUUUACAUUAUAGAGAUUGUUCUUUGUUUUGCCCGUGUGUGCUUUCUUGUCAUAGGUUCUUUGACUAGGGCAUGAACAAAUUCACAAUGUUUUAAUUUUUUUGGUAUGGACUGACACAGUAGUUUGAGAUAAUAUGUGGAUUAAGAGGAUUAGUCUUUACCAUUUUCUGUUGGGUUGGGGGAAUGGGUAACGUAGGUAUGUUAGACAGUUGAGAACUUGAACGUUAAGAGAAACAAGAAGAAGACAAUAGGAGGAAAAUUCUUGUCAGUUGCAUCCAAAUUGAAUGGAGACCCUAACCUCAUGGUUAAGUUACAAUUCUUUUUUUUGUUGGCAAUCAAAAAAAAAAAAAAAAAGAAAAAAAAGAAUAGGCCUUAUUGAUUCUACAUGUUCAAUUUGAAAGUUGAGGAUCUUGUUUAAUGUGUGUUUUGCAGAUAACAUUAUAACCUGUAGCUUUUCUAGUUCCAUUUGAAAGUUGAAGUCUCAUAUACACUGAAGAAGGGAGCAGUGUUUUGAAAUGAUUUUAAGCACUGCAGAAUUAUUGGCAUCUUUUCAUUUAGCUGAUUUUUUGUUGUCAUGGAAGUAGUGUUUUCAUUUAUGCUAUUUUUGCAAGUUCUGAUUCAUAUUUCCCAAUAAUUGAAUCACUUUGGUUGGAUGAAACCAUUUAUUAAUUACAUUUUUUGGUCCAAGUAGAAUUUGCAGGUUGUUUUUCACUUUGUUCUACUGCUGGGACAUUUGCUGCUAUUUUGGGAACAGUCGGAGCUGAUUUUUUUGUUGAAUUAAAAUGGGUUCUUUCCAAGGAUUGUUGUAUUUUUCUGCUGCCCUAUUCUGGAACUUAUAUUCUACUGGAGAGAGAGAGAGAGAGAGAGAGUCAAUUUGUGUUUUAAGACAAUUCUAAUUGCCUUCUAUAUUAGAUUGUUGUUGGAUGAUUGAGACCCCUGUUGCUUUUCUUUUGGAGUGGUAAAAUGGCAUGCUUUUUGGCCUUUUUGCUGUUUGUUUAAUGAGAAAUCAAUAAACAUAUUGGGAAAACAACUAUUUGUUCCUGCACUUCUCCCCAAUUUACUUUAUUAUUUUUUCAGCACUCAAUUGAGAAUUUGUAUUUGUGGAGAUCA
This is a non-coding RNA of Camellia sinensis, 3640 nucleotides long. The record is from RefSeq and is a predicted model, not a curated record. Lineage: Eukaryota; Viridiplantae; Streptophyta; Magnoliopsida; Ericales; Theaceae.